GAUGAACGCUGGCGGCGUGCCUAAUACAUGCAAGUCGAGCGAACAGACGAGGAGCUUGCUCCUCUGACGUUAGCGGCGGACGGGUGAGUAACACGUGGAUAACCUACCUAUAAGACAGGGAUAACUUCGGGAAACCGGAGCUAAUACCGGAUAAUAUAUUGAACCGCAUGGUUCAAUAGUGAAAGACGGUUUUGCUGUCACUUAUAGAUGGAUCCGCGCCGCAUUAGCUAGUUGGUAAGGUAACGGCUUACCAAGGCAACGAUGCGUAGCCGACCUGAGAGGGUGAUCGGCCACACUGGAACUGAGACACGGUCCAGACUCCUACGGGAGGCAGCAGUAGGGAAUCUUCCGCAAUGGGCGAAAGCUUGACGGAGCAACGCCGCGUGAGUGAUGAAGGUCUUCGGAUCGUAAAACUCUGUUAUUAGGGAAGAACAAAUGUGUAAGUAACUAUGCACGUCUUGACGGUACCUAAUCAGAAAGCCACGGCUAACUACGUG
This 497-nucleotide ribosomal RNA is filed under the name uncultured bacterium. RNAcentral's name for it is "partial 16S ribosomal RNA". It matches the Rfam family "Bacterial small subunit ribosomal RNA", at positions 28 to 507 of the family's 1533-position model. The record is from RNAcentral.